AAAAAUCUGUGUUUACUGACUUGAGAUCUAUUAUUUAGCCUUCGAGGAAGUUUGAUUCAGUGCUUUGUGCCUUGACGAUCAAUGGAGGAAAACGGAUGCCGCAGUUAACUGAGCAGCAUUUGCAUCACGCAUGUCCUCUUUUUGAUCGAGUUACCUAUAUCCAACUAUCAGUGUAACAACGUUAUCCAACUUCGCAAAUGUCCUGCUCCUCUUGCCCCUGAUACACAUAGAAAUCAUCUUCGACAUUCACAAGUUCUAUUAAUUGGCUGUGGCAGCCAAUGCAAUCGUGGUAAUGAAGUUUCUGUAUUUGACACUGCAUCAAAAUUAAAGAAUGGUCUCUCCUACUUCUCCACUUAUGAAGAAGGUCUUCAUCUCUAUCAUCUUUAUAUAAAUAUUA
Long non-coding RNA from Coffea arabica (coffee), 397 nucleotides. RefSeq lists it as uncharacterized. The record is from RefSeq and is a predicted model, not a curated record. NCBI's taxonomy places the organism in Eukaryota, Viridiplantae, Streptophyta, Magnoliopsida, Gentianales, Rubiaceae.